Non-coding RNA from Podarcis lilfordi (Lilford's wall lizard), 69 nucleotides. NCBI's taxonomy places the organism in Eukaryota, Metazoa, Chordata, Lepidosauria, Squamata, Lacertidae. The record is from the annotation of a GenBank genome assembly.
GCCGCAGCUCAGUGACAGAGCACUUGUCUUUGAUACAGGAAGUCUCAGGUUCGAUACCUGGUGUCUCCA